GGGAUUCGGCGGGGAGAAGAAGAGAGAGAGGCGCAAGUGAGGGGGACGAGCGGAUAAGUACGUGUGGGGAGGGGGGUGAGCGUGGGGUGAGAGAAAAGGGGGGCUGGCACGUGAGGGGAGGUACCCCUUUAGGGUGAAGCCUUCAGCCGGUACUAAAGGCUCUUAGACAUAUUAGUACCGGUUGGAGGCUUCAACCGGUACUAAUGGGUGACCUUUAGUACCGGGUGAAGCCUCCACCCGGUACUAAAGGGGGUCAGGGGGGCUCCUCGGAGACUAGCCGUUAGGCUCGGUACUAAUUCUCACAUUAGUAUCGGGCUAAAAUGCAACCGGUACUGAGCCUUGAGACAAAUGCUGAGUUUUUAAGUAGCGAGGGUUCCUGAUGCUGCUCAUGCCCAAACUUGGGUGAAGAUGCUUUUGGUGCAUUUUGCUUCAUCAUUUUGUGUCUUGCAUGCAACCACCUAGUGGAGUAUGUAACUCCUUCAUGUGCUCACAAUGCAAUGUGCAGUGUGUUGGUGAAACAUAACUAUCCUAAAACUGCACUGUUGGUGCCUCAGCUUAUACAAGUCAUUUUAUAUUAUAGGUGUGCCCGACCUAUUGAACCGAUUAUUAUUGGUACAAUGAUGCAAGUAAGAGUGAAGAUGUUACCGAGCACAUGCUUUCAUCUAUGCCGUAUCACAUCCUUUGCGGUUUAUACAGGGCUAUUGCAUUCUUGCUUCUUGUUUCAACUCCAAUAUAUUGUGGUUUUGCCCUCGGUUUGUCCACUUUGUGAUUUUACUUUCACUUUUUGAAAACGAACUCCAUGUUUGCCCCUACUCCAUGAACAGCAUAUAACGGUGUCAAAUACCCUCGAAGAAGACACGUUUGCCUUUGUGAAUAUGCCCCAACUAUUUAGACAACUUUGUAAUUUUAUCCCUGUUUUACUACAUAUAUUUAGACAGCAUUUCAGCAUAUAUGAACUGAAAUUUGCCAACUAUACAUGUCAAUAGAUAUAAACAGAAAUUUGUCAACCAAAUUUUGAAAAGAAAUUGACAGCAUCAUAACAAAAACAAUAAAUCCAAACCACAUGUAUAUAUAGACACAUAACAUCCCAUAGUUCUUGUCCAACAAAAGCAACUAGUAUUGCAAUAUUACAUGCAUGUCCAGUGGCAAUGCAUCACAUUCAUGCAUCCAUCCGAUCUAUUCCUAAUAAUGCAGCCAAUCGACCUCCUCUUCUCCCUCCUCCUCCUCUAGAACCUCCUCCUAC
RNAcentral lists this long non-coding RNA (1243 nucleotides) under Setaria viridis. RNAcentral describes it as "long non-coding RNA (SVIR_LNC001455)". The record is from RNAcentral. Lineage: Eukaryota; Viridiplantae; Streptophyta; Magnoliopsida; Poales; Poaceae.